GUCUACAGCCAUGCUACUCUGAACAAGCCCAAUCCCAUCUGAUCUCGGAAGGUAAGCAGUGUCGACCCUGGUUAAUACUGGGAUGGGAGACCACCUAGGAAGACCAGGUGCCGUAGGCG
Molecule: ribosomal RNA, 119 nt
Filed under: Pteropus alecto (black flying fox)
Lineage: Eukaryota; Metazoa; Chordata; Mammalia; Chiroptera; Pteropodidae
Source: RNAcentral